UCUACUCGAUUGACCUUGAUCGCGAACUUAACCCUUCUCAAUCCUCUAACACAGCUUUUCGAGAUUCGACACAGCCAACCCGUGCUCAAAUUACAGCUGUUUCGCGGCUCAUUGUUCCACACUGAUGGCUGUUUCAAAUGGCUCUCUGCUGGAACUGUGAAAUAUUUCGAACAUUCCACACCAACUACACAGAUGAUGGUGUGGAGUGGAUGGAUCGCGCCUCGUCACCCGAUUCAGCAUAGGCAAAUGCACUGCACAUUCAAACGAUAAGACGAGCACAUGUUUUAUAUCGGCCACGGGCGACUCCACCUCUCACCUAGCGGCUGGGUUAAAUUAUAAAACUCUUUUGUUGCCCUUCAACUCACUUCGGGCUUGACGCGCUUGAUUGGAGGUAGGGUCGCCAUAUUCGCUCUGAGUGGAAAGAUUUUGUAUAAGAGUUACAGUUUGUUCCAGUUACAGUUUUAAACAGAAAAACUGCUUAUGAAGCUUUAAUGUACGUGUACUCUAAAAGAGUACGUAUGGUAACCCUAAUGGAGAUCGUAAUAUGAUUGUACACGGUAGCAGCUAUAGCAUCCCCAGUGAGACUAUUAUUCUCCAAUAACCCAUUGUCAAUUCAUUGCUAUCAUCGCUGGCCGGAAAGCGUAGUGUGAUCCCCACGGAACGCGGUAAACUUUGGGGCAGACGUUCACUUUGUCAUUUGGUCUUCGCAAAUAGGCAGCUGCGAAAUCUGGUUCCGCAUCUACUUGAACCCGGCACAUUAUCUAGUCAUCGAUUCAAACUAUUUGAUGUAUCUUUCGGAAUUGAAUUCAGUGUGAGAACUAUGUCUCAUUGAUGUUUUCUACUUUAACAAUACAGAGAAUGAAAUUUGAUUUU
Molecule: long non-coding RNA, 873 nt
Organism: Aedes aegypti (yellow fever mosquito)
Lineage: Eukaryota; Metazoa; Arthropoda; Insecta; Diptera; Culicidae
Exons: 2
Source: RefSeq, a predicted model, not a curated record